AGAGUUUGAUCAUGGCUCAGGAUGAACGCUAGCUACAGGCUUAACACAUGCAAGUCGAGGGGCAGCAUUAGGUAGCAAUACUGAGAUGGCGACCGGCGCACGGGUGCGUAACGCGUAUCCAACCUUCCCGUUACUCUUGGAUAGCCUUCCGAAAGGGAGAUUAAUACAAGAUGGUGUUUCAAAUUCGCAUGUAAAUGAAACUAAAGAUUUAUCGGUAACGGAUGGGGAUGCGUGACAUUAGGUAGAUGGCGGGGUAACGGCCCACCAUGCCUACGAUGUCUAGGGGUUCUGAGAGGAAGGUCCCCCACACUGGAACUGAGACACGGUCCAGACUCCUACGGGAGGCAGCAGUGAGGAAUAUUGGUCAAUGGCCGGAAGGCUGAACCAGCCAAGUAGCGUGAAGGAUGAAGGUUCUAUGGAUUGUAAACUUCUUUUAUACGGGAAUAAAACCUCCCACGUGUGGGAGCUUGUAUGUACCGUAUGAAUAAGCAUCGGCUAACUCCGUGCCAGCAGCCGCGGUAAUACGGAGGAUGCGAGCGUUAUCCGGAUUUAUUGGGUUUAAAGGGAGCGUAGACGGGAGAUUAAGUCAGUUGUGAAAGGCUGCGGCUCAACCGCAGCACUGCAGUUGAUACUGGUUUCCUUGAGUUCGGUUGAGGUGUAUGGAAUUCGUGGUGUAGCGGUGAAAUGCUUAGAUAUCACGAAGAACUCCGAUUGCGAAGGCAGUACACUAAGCCGUCACUGACGUUGAGGCUCGAAAGUGUGGGUAUCAAACAGGAUUAGAUACCCUGGUAGUCCACACGGUAAACGAUGAAUACUCGCUGUUGGCGAUACAAUGUCAGCGGCCAAGCGAAAGCAUUAAGUAUUCCACCUGGGGAGUACGCCGGCAACGGUGAAACUCAAAGGAAUUGACGGGGGCCCGCACAAGCGGAGGAACAUGUGGUUUAAUUCGAUGAUACGCGAGGAACCUUACCCGGGCUUAAAUUGCAGAGGACAGGUCUAGAGAUAGACUCUUCUUCGGACCUCUGUGAAGGUGCUGCAUGGUUGUCGUCAGCUCGUGCCGUGAGGUGUCGGCUUAAGUGCCAUAACGAGCGCAACCCUUAUCUUUAGUAGCCAGCGAGUAAAGUUGGGCACUCUAGAGAGACUGCCGGGGAUAACCCGGAGGAAGGUGGGGAUGACGUCAAAUCAUCAUGCCCCUUAUGACCAGGGCUACACACGUGCUACAAUGGCGUAAACAGAGGGAAGCGAAAGUGUGAGCUGGAGCAAAUCCCAAAAAUAACGUCCCAGUUCGGAUUGUAGUCUGCAACUCGACUACAUGAAGCUGGAAUCGCUAGUAAUCGCGAAUCAGAAUGUCGCGGUGAAUACGUUCCCGGGUCUUGCACUCACCGCCCGU
Molecule: ribosomal RNA, 1390 nt
Filed under: uncultured bacterium
Lineage: Bacteria
Description: bacterial SSU rRNA
Rfam family: Bacterial small subunit ribosomal RNA
Source: RNAcentral